This 1089-nucleotide long non-coding RNA is filed under the name Equus caballus (horse). Its description in RNAcentral is "lncRNA (ENSECAG00000056890.1)". The record is from RNAcentral. Lineage: Eukaryota; Metazoa; Chordata; Mammalia; Perissodactyla; Equidae.
ACGCCUGACUCUUGAAUCAUCAGUGAGUAAUGACGCGGAGCCCCGCAGGCAGACUCUCGGAUCUGGAUUUGAGCUUGAAUCCUUUGAUUUGUUUUCAUCAACACUAACAGCAUUCCCGCAGGCCCUUCACUUCAAAGCCCGGGGAGCUGGUGGCGGAGGGCCUGCAGCUACUGCACAGGGAGGCAGAAAGCAACCCAAACAUCAUUGCCACAGGUGCCAAGAUGAGCUGCGUUGGCUUCCUGUGAAGGCUCCAGCUAUGGAUUCCAAUCCCAGCCUCACCGCUUCCCAGCUGUGUAAACUUCGGCAAGUUUCUUAAACUCUCAGAGCCUCUUCAUCUGUAAACAAGGCUACUUACAGCUCCCCACUCAGCGUGUCCUGGUGAGGAUUAAGAGAGCUAACGGACGCGCUGCACUUUCUCCAUGUUAACUGUUACAAAGAGAUGGCUCCUGGAGUUUGACUCUGGCCCAAAGUGAAGGCUGCCUGGGAUGCAAAGGAGAAGCUCUCAGCCCAGUCUGCUGGGGAAGCACCUGUCAUUGGUUUGGGCCUGGCAGCGUGGUCUCCAAGGAGACGGUAGUGAGACCCCGCCUGUGUCACUGAGCCAGCACUGGGGGACUGAGGCCCAGGGGUCUGUACUGGGACCUCAGGAGAGUCUGAAGGCCAGGCAGCUUUGGGACCGCUGAAGAAAACCCUUCCUCUCUGUUCCUAGGUUGCAUGUAGAUUCUUGGCAGAGGCCUUGGUAUUACCCAGACAUUGUCCCCCGCCCUGCACGGAGGGAGUGACUCCAACAUUAAUUGCAGAUCUGGGGCAAGAACCGGGCCUCUGGAAUCCUUGGCCAGGCUCCUGCUACCCCAGUCUCCUCUCCACUUGGCAAGCUCAGAAGAAAUCAUAGCCAGUUCCCAGCAGACAGGAUGCCUGGUGGGGCUUUGUCAACGGCAGUGCUCUCCCAGGCAGGCUGGGGUGAGAAUGAUUAUGUAGGUCUCUUCGUAAUCAGAAAAGAGAGCUGGAGCCCUUUAAGUGCCGGCUGCUUCAUUUGGUCCCAGAAGAUUGGAUUAGCAUCAACUGUCUGCACUGAACUAGUAGAUAAAAGAC